RNAcentral lists this ribosomal RNA (497 nucleotides) under uncultured bacterium. Its description in RNAcentral is "partial 16S ribosomal RNA". It matches the Rfam family "Bacterial small subunit ribosomal RNA", at positions 28 to 507 of the family's 1533-position model. The record is from RNAcentral.
GAUGAACGCUGGCGGCGUGCCUAAUACAUGCAAGUCGAGCGAACAGGCGAGGAGCUUGCUCCUCUGACGUUAGCGGCGGACGGGUGAGUAACACGUGGAUAACCUACCUAUAAGACUGGGAUAACUUCGGGAAACCGGAGCUAAUACCGGAUAAUAUAUUGAACCGCAUGGUUCAAUAGUGAAAGACGGUUUUGCUGUCACUUAUAGAUGGAUCCGCGCCGCAUUAGCUAGUUGGUAAGGUAACGGCUUACCAAGGCAACGAUGCGUAGCCGACCUGAGAGGGUGAUCGGCCACACUGGAACUGAGACACGGUCCAGACUCCUACGGGAGGCAGCAGUAGGGAAUCUUCCGCAAAGGGCGAAAGCUUGACGGAGCAACGCCGCGUGAGUGAUGAAGGUCUUCGGAUCGUAAAACUCUGUUAUUAGGGAAGAACAAAUGUGUAAGUAACUAUGCACGUCUUGACGGUACCUAAUCAGAAAGCCACGGCUAACUACGUG